UGUUCCCUGGGAUAUCGGAGCUUGGUUAAGUCCCUGAGCCGAUAAAUUUUAUACCAGGAUUUCUGUUCGUCUACUAUUGUGCAAGCUUGGCAUGUACCGAGAAGCCUACGGUAAACCGCAGAUUUCCGCCCUGAGACCUUCUGGUUUCAGGACUGAAACCGGGUACCAUAUCUUGGGGAACAC
This 183-nucleotide non-coding RNA is filed under the name Pseudoalteromonas distincta. RNAcentral describes it as "6S RNA". It matches the Rfam family "6S / SsrS RNA". Rfam says of the family: E. coli 6S RNA was the first non coding RNA to be sequenced, but its function was unknown until recently. It consists of 184 nucleotides that fold into an extended hairpin structure with a large single-stranded internal bulge. The 6S RNA specifically associates with RNA polymerase holoenzyme containing the sigma70 specificity factor. RNAcentral also lists the same sequence under 7 other names. The record is from RNAcentral. Lineage: Bacteria; Pseudomonadati; Pseudomonadota; Gammaproteobacteria; Alteromonadales; Pseudoalteromonadaceae.